This 488-nucleotide ribosomal RNA is filed under the name Scolecobasidium sp. NH81. RNAcentral describes it as "eukaryotic LSU rRNA". It matches the Rfam family "Eukaryotic large subunit ribosomal RNA", at positions 87 to 580 of the family's 3401-position model. Lineage: Eukaryota; Fungi; Ascomycota; Dothideomycetes; Venturiales; Sympoventuriaceae. The record is from RNAcentral.
CGGCGAGUGAAGCGGCAACAGCUCAAAUUUGAAAUCUGGCGUCUUGGGCGUCCGAGUUGUAAUUUGUAGAGGGAGCCUCGGGUUGAGGGUCGGUCCAAGUGCCUUGGAACAGGAUACCGCAGAGGGUGAGAGUCCCGUAUCCGGCCGACGCCUGCGCCCGUGUGAGGCCUCUUCGACGAGUCGAGUUGUUUGGGAAUGCAGCUCUAAAUGGGUGGUAAAUUCCAUCUAAAGCUAAAUACCGGCCAGAGACCGAUAGCGCACAAGUAGAGUGAUCGAAAGAUGAAAAGCACUUUGAAAAGAGAGUCAAACAGUACGUGAAAUUGUUGAAAGGGAAGCGUAUGUGGGCAGACUUGGCCGCGGGAUUCAGCCCGUCUUCUGGCGGGUGUACUUUCUCGCGGACAGGCCAGCAUCGGUUCCGGGGGCCGGACAAAGGCGACGGGAAUGUGGCUCCCCUCGGGGAGUGUUAUAGCCCGGCGUGCAAUGCGGCC